This 240-nucleotide ribosomal RNA is filed under the name Triticum aestivum (bread wheat). RNAcentral's name for it is "partial small subunit ribosomal RNA". The record is from RNAcentral. Lineage: Eukaryota; Viridiplantae; Streptophyta; Magnoliopsida; Poales; Poaceae.
AUGUGCACCUCUGAUAUCUAUACUGACUCCACUCUGGUACAUCAUGAGUCGAAGCACAUCGAACGAAGGGGUGUGGAGAAGAGACAUCGAACGGGAGGCGAGAAGGGUGGUGGACCACCGAGCAAGGGCGCUCAACGGCUCUGUCCCUGCCCCAUGGUGGCCGCUCCUCGCAAGGGGAUUAAGGGAGUCAUGAAACAACAGAGGGUUCAGCUCCUUUGCAGUUCGAUUCUUACUGUAUAG